RNAcentral lists this ribosomal RNA (610 nucleotides) under Salmonella enterica subsp. enterica. RNAcentral describes it as "bacterial LSU rRNA". It matches the Rfam family "Bacterial large subunit ribosomal RNA", at positions 1084 to 1693 of the family's 2925-position model. The record is from RNAcentral. Lineage: Bacteria; Pseudomonadati; Pseudomonadota; Gammaproteobacteria; Enterobacterales; Enterobacteriaceae.
CCCAGACAGCCAGGAUGUUGGCUUAGAAGCAGCCAUCAUUUAAAGAAAGCGUAAUAGCUCACUGGUCGAGUCGGCCUGCGCGGAAGAUGUAACGGGGCUAAACCAUGCACCGAAGCUGCGGCAGCGACACUCAUGUGUUGUUGGGUAGGGGAGCGUUCUGUAAGCCUGUGAAGGUGGCCUGUGAGGGUUGCUGGAGGUAUCAGAAGUGCGAAUGCUGACAUAAGUAACGAUAAAGCGGGUGAAAAGCCCGCUCGCCGGAAGACCAAGGGUUCCUGUCCAACGUUAAUCGGGGCAGGGUGAGUCGACCCCUAAGGCGAGGCCGAAAGGCGUAGUCGAUGGGAAACGGGUUAAUAUUCCCGUACUUGGUGUUACUGCGAAGGGGGGACGGAGAAGGCUAUGUUGGCCGGGCGACGGUUGUCCCGGUUUAAGCGUGUAGGUGUGUGUUCCAGGUAAAUCCGGUUCACUUUAACACUGAGGCGUGACGACGAGGCACUACGGUGCUGAAGCAACAAAUGCCCUGCUUCCAGGAAAAGCCUCUAAGCAUCAGGUAACAUCAAAUCGUACCCCAAACCGACACAGGUGGUCAGGUAGAGAAUACCAAGGCGCUUGA